AAACGCUGUCAGUGCGGCCGAGUGAGUGUACUCUUUCGGGUAAACUGACAGAUAAGCCUCACUGACUGCUACAGUACUAGCUCUGGACUUUAUAUUUAAGCAAAGUAAUAAAUAUUAUUUGAAUUACAUAUUGUAAUUCUGUUUCGAUAUAUUUUGGGUUUUUUGUUUAAAACGAGAGCAAAAUGCAGAGAGAGAAAUAUUUGCCAGAGCUGAUGGCAGAGAAAGAUACUCUGGACCCAUCUUUUGUUCAUGCUGCGCGUCUGCUGACUGAAGAAAUUGAACAGUUCCAGAACAACAGCUCAAAAAAAGAAGAGGAGAAGCAAUACCUUGAUGUUAUCAGCAACAAAAACAUUAAAUUAGCUGAAAGAGUGUUGAUUCCGGUCAAACAAUAUCCAAAGUUCAAUUUUGUGGGCAAGUUGCUCGGACCACGAGGUAAUUCGUUAAAGAGGUUACAGGAAGAAACAGGUGCAAAAAUGUCCAUCUUGGGCAAAGGAUCUAUGAGGGACAAAGCCAAGGAAGAAGAAUUGCGGAAAAGUGGAGAGGCCAAGUAUGCACAUUUAGGUGAUGACCUUCAUGUGCUUAUUGAAGUCUUUGUCCCAGCAGGAGAAGCCUAUUCCCGCAUGAGCCACGCACUAGAGGAGGUGAAGAAAUUCCUGGUCCCAGACUACAAUGAUGAGAUUCGUCAGGAGCAGUUGAGAGAGCUGUCAUACCUGAAUGGUUCCGAGGAUUCUAAUCGAGGGAGGGGAACACGUGGAAGGGUGAUUCGCUCUGCCCUCACACCAGCCACGAGGGGACGUGCUAGCACUGUCCUUCCUGGACGAGGAGUUCCAGUGCCCCGAGGAACAUCAGUGGCACGGGGGGUACUUUCUCUAUCCCAUGCAGUGAGGGGAACUUCAGCACCACGUAGCAGGGGAGGACCAGGAGCAUCUGGCUAUCGACCAGCACCUCCACCAGAACAAGAUACUUACGAUGAAUAUGGAUACGAUGAUGGCUAUGGUGGAGAAUAUGAUGAACAAAGCUAUGACACUUAUGAUAAUAGCUACGCCAGUCAGGUGGAGAGUGGCGCUGAGUAUUACGAUUACGGACAUGGAACAAGUGAAGAACUCUAUGAAAGUUAUGGUCAAGAAGAAUGGGUUUCAUCUCGGCCAAGUUUAAAGGCCCCAAUCCUGAGGUCAAGAGGGACUUACAGAGAACACCCCUAUGGUAGAUAUUGAAGGCAGCCCUUGUUGUACAAUGACUACAUGCGUGCCCAAUGGUCAGCUUAUGAACAACUACAAGACAAGUGUCUGGUGGUAGGUUAACCAGGAAAAAAAAAGCAGGACAAGCAUUCAGGCUCAGAUAUUUUUGCUAAUGGAUGCUCUUUCCCUAACUAAGUGGUUCCUGGCAGAUAGGAAGAACUGCAGAUGCUGGAGUCAAAGACAACGCUUCUUCGGAAGGACCUGAUCCAAAACGUAAACUUUCCUGCUUCUCUGCCGUGUCCCUCUAGCCGCACACUGUGUAGUUUCUGGCAGAUGAAAUGAUGGCCAAUUCUGAAAGUAUGGAAGAGAAUAUUUUCUCUAACUUUUGUUCCUUCAGUGAAUGAUUCAUGAGACUCAAGUUUAUUUCAUGUCUGCACAACUCCUGUGGUUACCCAUGAUGAGUACGGGGUAAGUUGGUAACGUGGCACUAAGGACAAAAGAUAGGUGUGUGGAAGUCAUGACUUGGCAUGAGUUGAUACUAAGUCAACAUAGGGAAUAUAAAAGGCUUUGAGGAUGAUUGGGUGUCAUGAGUUUGGCAUGGGGUGUGUAAGGAAUCACAGGUGUGGGUAUAGGGGCAUGGCGUGUAUGUGAGUUAGGUGGCGGGGAGCAGGCAUGACAAUCGGGAGUAUGGGGGUGAGGGCUGGAUCACUGUUUAUUUCUUCAAGUUUUUUAAUAAUAUCAUCAAAUGUCAUGGCAUUGAGAUAGGCCUCCUCAGAAGGCUACCUCCACACCUGGCAGGUUCACUUUCAUUGCAGCAUCACCUGGCUGAAUUCUCAGAGAACCCCACCAUCCCAAAAAGAGGAUCUUAACUUUCCAGCCACUUUCUCCUAAGGCAGAUUUGUGCACCCAGGAAAUAUCCUGACUCUGCACUCCUCACUGCCAGAGCAAACAUCGAUGUUUCCAAUUUAUUUUAUGGGAGCAUGGCUCCAGAGCUCUGCCUAUGAUGUUGAUGAUAGCACACACCCAACAUUGAUGGAGCCACUGAACAGCUGCCAGAAAUGGUGGAGCCUUCUCUUGUCCAAUUUUAACAUCACCAGAUGCAUAACACCAGUGUUAGCUAAUUCCUAUCUGCCAAGCACUGAAUGCUAUUCCCAAACUACCGAUGGUGAUUUUGGAAUUUUCAUUGUCGAGAGAAGUUAUGAAUGGAGCUCCAUACUAUGGAGUGUCAGGAACUGAUGCAGCCUUGACCUUAUAACAACCUAAAACAGCCUACGGCAGUUGGAAUGAGGAUUUUUCCCUAAGGAACUCCUUGACUGAACCUGUUCAAAAUAGACUCAGGUUUGUACAGCUCCUUUCAAGGAUGCCCUAAAUCAUUCAACAAGCAGUGAAGUGCCCCUGAGUUGUAGUUACAGGUGUCAGAUGGAAAACAGGGUCACCAGUUUUCAGGCAGUAAACUACCUCAGACAGCAGUGUGAUAAUGAUCAGAUGAUGUAUUUUUGGUGAUGUUGUUUUAGGAAUUAAUAUUGGCCAGGUCAGAGGCAAUAACUUGUCUUAUCAUUGUCAAAAUCAGGCCAAAGGAUUCUUCAUAUUCACCUGAGAGGAUCUCAGUUUAAUAUCCUAUCUGAAAGACAGCUGUCUAGCCCUGCAUGAGGAAUGUCAGCUUAGGUAUUCAUACUGAGGCCUUUGGAAUAUGAGUUGAUACCAACUUUCCAAUUCAGAGAUGAUAGUACCAAUGACAGAGUGUCAUGGCUAACACUGAGCUAGCAGUAAUUACCCUCUAACAGCCACAACCAUCUUCGAUCCUUGUUGGGAAAGGCUCCAGGCUCUGCAGGAAUUUCAUUUUUGACCCUCCCAAAACCACUUCUCUCUGAUACAGUUUUGUCCCUUGAAUAAGCAGAAUUUAUAUUAACUGUACCUUGCUCUGCCACCAGAUUUAUUGCCUGGCUAUCACCUUUUAAUUACCACUUUGAAGCCAUACCUUGCCGUCCCUUUCACAAGAUGGCAAGUUCUUCUUAGCGCUCCUUCAGUAUUGACUGCUGACCAAUUUUACUUUGACGAGACCCUGAUGUUCCAGGAUACAGGUAAGUGGGAAUGAGUUUGAGGGGAGGAUGGUGGGGCUGCAGGUGAACCCAUUGGGAGAGAUCUUGCUCCACCCAACACAGAAGGGGUCACAUGAAAAACAGCCACAACCUGUCUUAUUGCAUCUUAAAGAAAUGCCUGUCAAAAUGGUAAAUUCUGAUUGAGAUUUGUCUUUCCCACUUGCUCUCUGAGGGUGGAAGUGAAAGUGUGCUUAUGUAGAUAGAAUCAUCAUAGGAACCAGACAAGGCCAUUUAGCCCUUUGAAGUUGAUCCAUCAUUCAAUCAGAUCGUGGUUGAUCCAUAUCUCAGCUGCAUCUACCCAUUUUGGUUACAUAAUCAUUAUCUUAUAAAAAUCUAUCAAUUUCAGUUUCAGUUCACAGAUAACAUAGAAUAAAUGGUACAAUUCUAAGGAGUUCACUGGACCAUGCAGAGCUGGGGGUGCAUUACAGAGGUCAUUCAAGGGAGCAGGUCAAGUUAAGAAAGGAAUCUAUAAAGCUGGUGUUUUAUAAGUAAGGGUGUGGAAGACAAAACUAGGGAAGUAGUAUUAUGCUUGUAUAAAACAUUUGUGCAACCUCAGACUGGAAGACUGUGAAAUUCUUUAAAGGAACCGUGGUUAUGUAAAGCAGCAUCCCUCUGAUCUUCAGUACUUUAUAGGGUCUUACAUUCACUUAUAAUCCCUUGCCUUGUUAGCCCUUCCAAAGAGUACUACCUCUCAUUUUUCUAUGUUGAAUUCCAUUUGUCACAUUGCUGCAGGCUUUAGGUGAGGUGCUGUUUCAGUGAGCCAGCAGACAACACCAUGGACUGAAUGUCCUCUCUCUGUGCUGUAACUAUUCUAUACUGAUAUGUAUUUUUAAGAUCUUACAGCACAGAAAAAAGGCCAUCCUGGCCAGUGCAUUUCCACCACCAGGAAGGAUGAGGACAGCACGCCAUGUGAAAACCAUCACCUCCAAGACUUACAGCAUCUCAAUUCAGGCAGAUAUUGUCAGCCCUUAUUCAUCACUGGGUCAAUGUCUGAUUCAAAUUCCCUACCCACCCUUAGCACAGGAAGCAGUUGGGGAAGAAAGUCUACCCCACUUUAAAAGCAACGGAGAAUGAAAAUGAAAAUGUCAGUCUUUUUUAAAUAUCCUUGUCCCAAAAAGUCCUAUUCCAAGGUGGGAGCAGUAAAGCUAAUGCUGACAUUCCAAUGUUAAACUGUUGGAGCUGUUGCCUUUUGGUAGAGACUUUAGGCCCUGACUUCCCUUUCAGUUGAGCCUAAAAUAUCCCACUGGCACUAUUUUAAAAUAUAGCAGCAAACUUUUCCCUGGUGUUGGUCAAUAUUGAUCUAUCAUCAUUAUCACAUUGUAGUUUGUCGGAGCUUGCUGUGCAGAACGUUGGUUGGGAUGAAAUAUUAUUGGAAUAUUUAGGAAUGUUGAGUUGAUGUUAAAAUCAGGGCAACUAUGAUCUUAUUGAAUGGUGGAGCAGGCUCACAGGGCCAAGUGGCCUACUUUUGUUCCAUGUUCAUAUGUUGUCUGUUUUGUUUCUAACAUUACAGCAGUGGCUCCAUUUCAAAAGCACUUCACUGGCAAUAAAAUACUUCACGACAUUUGAAGGUUUUGAAAAGUGUUACAUCAUGCAAGUCUUUUUUCCUGCUUUUCUAGACAUUACUUAGAGAAUGUCAAAGUCUGGCAAUGACCAUUCAGAGUAGCAAAGCAGCAAACAAGUUUCCACAAGCAACAAGCAGUAUAAUUAUGAGCAGAUAGUCUGUUUUGUGGAUAAAUAUUGAUGAGGAUUCCAGAGAAAAUUCCCCAGCUUUUCUCAAAUAGUGCCCUGGGAUCUUUUCUAACACCCUGACUGGGCUGAUAGAGAUUCUGUUUAACAGCUCAUCUGAAAACAGUACCUCUGACAAAGCAGUAUUCUCAGUAUUGCAUUGGCCCAAUUAUGUGGAUCAGGCUGUAGAGUAUAUCCUGAACUGGUCGCCUCUUGAUUGAAAGAUUGAAGCCAAAACUAGCACUCAUUGACUGUUGCACUGAAAUAAUAUUUCCAACUUUCUGAUUUACAUUGUGGAUCCCUCUGUCCAUCUCGACACCAUUUGAAGUUCCUUCCAAAUCAACAAAACUCUUAUAAGAUACAACAUGAUGAAUAUGUUGGUAAAAAGGAUCCCCACAGACAUGUCUAACCUCACAGUAACAAGCCAUGGGAUGGCAGACACUUGCAGCUCCAGUGACAUGAUGAUUAUUAUGAUCUGUUACCCAUCUUUGCCACACUCAGUGUUAUUCCACAUAAAAGCUUGCCAGACAGAUUAAAUCAAUCAUUACAUCUAGAUGUUCUGCUGAUAUUCACAAUAGUAACUUGAGAUUAUAGAGUAGCUUUAAUGCAGUGAAACACCUGAAGACACUGAGCCACAUAGGAGAUACUAGGCUGAUGAUGGAGUUGGGAACCUCGCAAUCUGGCAAACUGACCUCAGCAGAGCCUCAUCAAGUGGAAUCAUUACUCAUGGGGGAGGUCAUUUAGCCCAUCAUGCCUGUGCUCUGUGAAAGAGCAUCCAGCUGAAUCCCCUAUACUACAAAUAUCUCCUCUUCAGAUAACUAUUCAAUUCACUUUUGAAAGUUAUAAAGGUAACUUGCAUAUCCAGAUAAUAAUUAACUUCAUUGAAGCUUUUUGUCUUAUAUCCAUCUGGGAAAUUGGCAAGAAAUACAAAUGUAAAGGAAAGCAAGAUUUAUACUGUGCGAGGACAGACUGCUGAUAUAUUGGCAAGUGGCCUAAUCAAAAAUAGAAUGUUGACCCUUAUUUCAAGGAGUCUAAGGUUAGGAUAGUCUUACUACAACUGCACAAAGUGCUGGUGAAUUAUUUUUAGUUGUCAUCUGUACUCUAAUACAAAAAUACAAGAAUAGAGUGAAAAGUGUACAAUGUCGCCACGCACGACACCAUUUUACCUACAAAGUAACUAAUUACAAAUCUUAGGUACUAAAAUAGAUUAGGUACAAAACUAGAGAAGUAAUAAAAGGCUAAAGUUCUAUACUGCAGUUCUUCAUAGCAUAAAAGAGUAAAAUGAAAUAAAGUUAAAAGAUAAUCUUUAGUCUACAGCACACAUUCGCUCCACAUUGGGGCUUUUCCACACGUGGUCUUACUCCCCCACCCCCCUUCCCGACUGGGUCCAUGUGCAGUUUUGGUCCCCUUGUAAAAAGAAACUUAUUAUUUCAUUGGAGGCGGUUCAGAGAAAAUUCAUUAGGAUGAUCCCUAGCAUGGAGAGAUUGCCUUAUGAGCAAAGGUUAAACAGGUUGAGAUUCUACUCAGUGGACUUUAGAAAAAUAAGAAUGAAAAAUGAUCUCAUUGAAACAUGUAGGAUUCUUAAGGUGCUUGACAGGGUAAAUGCUGAGUGGAUAUUUCCCUUCAUGGGAGAAUCUGGGUCCAAUUCAACACUGAGAUGGGGAGGAAUUUCUUUCCUUAGAAGGUUGAGAAUCUUUGGAACUCCUUAGCACAGAGAGAUGUGGCGGCAGAGUCCUUAUGUAUAUUUAAGGAUGAGAUGGAUAAAUUCUUGAGCAGUUAGGGAAUGAAGGGCUAUGGGGGAAAAGCAGGAAAGUGGAUGUGAAGCAUGUCAGAUCAGCCUUGAUCUCAUUGAACUGCAACCUACUCCUGUUCCUGUUUCUUAUGUUCUUACAGUCUAAAAGGAUCAUGUUUUCCAAAGAGUGAACAAGGCCAAAUGCUGCACUUUCCAAAAAGAUCAAGAGGUGUUGGUGAGGAAUUGCACGACUGGCGAAAAUUGGGUACCAGCCAUCAUUGUAGCACAAACUGGACCACAUUCCUGCUGUUUCUUUGACUGACAUGGAUACAAUGGGCUGAAGAGUCUUCUUCUGUGCUGUGGAUCUAUAUGACUCAUGCAACACACAGAUGACAGAUGAGAUAGCAUGGAAAAGACAUGUAGAUCAGCUCUUGGCAACCAGAACAAAUAGGCCAGGGACUGCAUCAAUUAAAGAUCCAAAAAUAACCGUGCCAAAUAGAGGCCUAGAUAUACCUGACGUCAAAGCAGUAACUGGAGCAUCUGAAGAAAAUAGUACCUCAGUGGAGAGUCCCACAGCAUUGUGCGAAAACACUAAGAGAGUUAGGUUUAUUUAAUUUUUAGAUUUAGAUUUAUUUAAUACUGUCACUUGCACCUAGGUACAGUAGAAAGUGGAUAAUGUUGCCACGCUCUGGCACCAUCUUGGAUUACAGAAUAUGUUACUGAAUAAAUUGUAUAAAUGGAAAAAUACUGAAUAAAUUAAUAUUAAAUUGAUAUUGCUAAAAAUGAAGCAGCUUUAAAAGUUCAUCUUUCCCUCUCCGCUCCUCCAGUCACUGCCAUCCAAUAUCAUCCCCAGGGUCCUGGCAAUGUGCUCCUUUUCUGUUGCCACUGGUGUUGUUGUUUCUGUGUCUGCCGCUUUCGAGAUGGAGACAGUCAAGCUGCACAGGUUCCACACCUCCUCCGAUGCUGGACAUUGACUGAUGGGUCCUGAGUCUGAGUUGACCAAUGGGGUCAACUGGCUCCAAGUCGACCAACAGGGUCCAGGCUUGUCUUCCGAUGCUGCCAUUCAAGAUAGAGUGGUGAUGUAGAUACGUGAGGCUCUGGACUCCCACUGGAGGACUUCAGGAGGAGGAUCCAGAGAAACUAAAACCAGGGGAGAAUGUUACUGUGCUGGAGAGACAACGUUGAAGCCAUGUGGAUGUGGCAGAACCUGAAACAUGAAACAUAAACCAUUAGUGGUUGAGCCCCAUGCUCAGGAGCCAAAUACUACCAAACCUACCAGACCAAGAGCAAAACCAACACAAAAAAUAAACAGCUACAAGAGGUGCACUGACAGCCGCACAGGAGUCAACAUUCUCAGAUUGAAGCGACAACUUUCUAGGAUUGAGUUGAGAAGGAGUUUCUUCAAAGGGUGCUGAAUCUGUGGGACUCAUUGCCACAGAAGGCUGUGGAGACCAAUUCACUGAGUGUAUUUAAGACAGAGCUAGUUAAGUUCUUGAUUGGUUAGGGGAUCAAGUCUUACGGGCGAAAGGCAGGAGAAAGGCUUGAGAAACGUAUCAGUCAUGAUCGAAUGAUGGAACAGACUCGAUGGGCCAAAUGGCCUAAUUCUGCCCCUAUAUCUUAUGCUCUUAUCCUCUGGAUUGUCUUACUUGCUGAUUGUUAUAUGUAUGAUUGUAAAUAUUGAUGAAUGAUUGUGAAUGUUUUCAUUGUAGGAACCUGUGAUGAAAGGGAGAAGGAAUGUUGUAUAUUUUCAUAAAGAUGCUGGGCUGUCACUUUAAGAAUCUGAUCACAUGAUCUAAAGAUGAUAUCAUUGGUAAUUUUGAGCCGGAAACUAUUCAGUCUAACGUUAUCGUCUGUAAACAUCUCCUUGGUAAAGCUCCUGCUAUCAAACACUCUGGCCUCUUGAUCCUUCUUGGAGCAUAACGAUUUUUUUUAAUCUAAGCUUGUUUUUUUUAAAUCGACUUUGCUGAACUAAAAUGGCUGCUGCCAAUCACACAAUUGACAAGUUGGCCACAGUCUAGAAAUUUCCUACAAUAAUUACAGACAAAGCGAAAUAGAUGACCCUGUUGGAAUUUCUCACCCGCUAACUGCAUGAACACUGCAAG
Molecule: RNA transcript, 8836 nt
Organism: Stegostoma tigrinum
Lineage: Eukaryota; Metazoa; Chordata; Chondrichthyes; Orectolobiformes; Stegostomatidae
Gene name: KH domain-containing, RNA-binding, signal transduction-associated protein 2-like
Exons: 12
Source: RefSeq, a predicted model, not a curated record